RNAcentral lists this ribosomal RNA (472 nucleotides) under uncultured bacterium. RNAcentral's name for it is "SSU rRNA". It matches the Rfam family "Bacterial small subunit ribosomal RNA", at positions 26 to 518 of the family's 1533-position model. The record is from RNAcentral.
AGAACGAACGCUGGCGGCAUGCCUAACGCAUGCAAGUCGAACGCUCUUGGGGCUUCGGUCUCAGGGGAGUGGCGCACGGGUGAGUAGCGCGUGGGAACCUGCCCUGUUGUGGGGGAUAACCGAGGGAAACUUCGGCUAAUACCGCAUAAGCCGGUUGUCUUGAAGGAGAUGGCCGGGAAAGAUUUAUCGCGACAGGAGGGGCCCGCGUCGGAUUAGCUAGUUGGUGGGGUAACGGCCCACCAAGGCGGUGAUCCGUAGCUGGUCUGAGAGGAUGAUCAGCCACACUGGGACUGAGACACGGCCCAGACUCCUACGGGAGGCAGCAGUGGGGGAAUAUUGGACAAUGGGCGCAAGCCUGAUCCAGCAAUGCCGCGUGAGUGAUGAAGGCCUUAGGGUUGUAAAGCUCUUUCGCCCGCGACGAUGAUGACGGUAGCGGGAGAAGAAGCCCGGCUAACUUCGUGCCAGCAGCCGC